UAGAGUUUGAUCCUGGCUCAGAGUGAACGCUGGCGGCGUGGAUUAGGCAUGCAAGUCGAGCGAUCGAGAUUUUGAAGCAAUUGAAGUUUUCGGACGGAUGUUGUGAAUUAAUCUUUGAUAGCGGCAAACGGGUGAGUAACACGUGGGUAAUCUGCCCUAGAGAGGAGGAUAGCUCCGAGAAAUCGGAGGUAAUACUCCAUAUAAUCUUACUAUUAAUUUAGUGAGAUGAAAGAUGGCUUAGGACUUCGGUCCGCUGUCACUUUAGGAGGAGCCCGCGGCCUAUCAGGUAGUUGGUAGAGUAAGAGCCUACCAAGCCAAAGACGGGUAGCUGGCAUUAGCGCGUGGUCAGCCACAUCGGGACUGAGACACUGCCCGGACUCCUACGGGAGGCUGCAGUCGAGAAUCUUUCCCAAUGGGCGAAAGCCUGAGGAUGCGACGCCGCGUGGGGGAUGAAGGCUUUCGAGUUGUAAACUCCUUUUGUUGAGGAGGAACACUGUUAAAUUAAUAGUUUUUCAGUUUGACUGUACUUAACGAAUAAGCCACGGCUAACUCCGUGCCAGCAGCCGCGGUAAUACGGAGGUGGCUAGCAUUACUCGGUAUGACUGGGUGUAAAGGGUCCGUAGGCGGCCAUAUGUGUGGUAGGUGAAAGCUUUCGGCUUAACCGAAAAAUUGCCUAUCAAACUGUAUGGCUUGAGGAUGGAAGAGGAGAGCGGA
This 714-nucleotide ribosomal RNA is filed under the name uncultured Omnitrophica bacterium. RNAcentral describes it as "bacterial SSU rRNA". It matches the Rfam family "Bacterial small subunit ribosomal RNA", at positions 1 to 665 of the family's 1533-position model. The record is from RNAcentral. Lineage: Bacteria; Pseudomonadati; Candidatus Omnitrophota.